Molecule: RNA transcript, 2694 nt
Organism: Nerophis ophidion (straightnose pipefish)
Lineage: Eukaryota; Metazoa; Chordata; Actinopteri; Syngnathiformes; Syngnathidae
Gene: gpaa1
Gene name: glycosylphosphatidylinositol anchor attachment 1
Exons: 15
Source: RefSeq, a predicted model, not a curated record
AUGUUUCCGGUAGAAACAAGGCACAACAUCAAGGUGCGGCUUCAAUGAAUUAAUGGCAACAUUUCCUUCGCUCUGGUUGCCAUUUAUAUUUGGAAAAGGCACGUCUGUAUACGUAAUUUUCAGACAACACAUAUUCUUAGGCCUUUAAAUAGUACCUGAAAGUCGGAGGGGUGUGGCCACGGGUGUGUUGACGCCACCAGAGUCUCUGAGGGAAGUCACGGCAGCUGCAGCAGGACAGAAGCUCUGCUGAGCUCCGGACUUGGAGAGCAAGAAUUCACCGAAAAUUAACAAGAUGGGACUUUUAUCAGAUCCCAACAGAAGACAGGCAGUGAUUCGCCUGCUCACGCGCCUCAAUGCUCCAAUCUGUCUUGUGUGCUACUUGGCCGGUGUCGCUUGGUUCAUGGGUUUAGCAUUCGAGCCCUUCACCCUGCGCACCUACAUGUCAGAGAAUGCCAUGGGUUCCACCAUGGUGGAGGAGCACUUCCCAGCCGGAGAGAAGGCUCUGGUCACAGCAAGGGAGUUUGCGGCACAUAAGAAAAAACAAGAUGGGAUGCCUGUGAACUGGCUGGUGAAAACCAUGCAGGAUCGAGGCCUGGAAGUCUUCACACAGACAUUUUCUCGCACUCUCCCAUUCCCGGAUGAAAACAAAGAGCGAUUUAUGGUGAAAGGCACAAACGUGUACGGCAUCCUUCGGGCACCUCGAGCACCACGGACCGAAGCUCUGGUGCUGACAGCUCCCUGCAGCCCAGGCAAUGCCAACAACCAGGCUGUAGGGUUGCUGCUCGUUUUGGCACAGUACUUCAGAAACCAGGUGUACUGGGCCAAGGACAUCAUCUUUCUGGUCAAUGAACACGAUUUGAUUGGCAUGCAGGCCUGGCUGGAAGGCUACCACCACACUAACACUACAGGAAUGGACUGGUCCCCACUUCAAGGCCGGGCCGGUUCCAUCCAAGCAGCCCUGUCUCUGGAGCUCAGCUCUGAUGUGGUGACCAGUUUGGACAUUGUGCUGGAGGGACUCAACGGGCAGCUUCCCAAUCUGGACCUUACCAACCUCUUCUACGCGUUCUGUCAGAAAAUUGGGGUCCUUUGCACCAUUCAAGGAAAGCUGCAGAGGAAUGACUGGGACAGUGCUUCAGGCUACAGCCACGCCGUGCAGACUUUGAUGCUGAUGGUGCUUAAGCAGGCCAGCGGGCGGCCCUGGGGCGACCACGGUCUUUUCCUGCGCUACCACAUCGAGGCCGCCACCAUCAAAGGCAUCAACAGCUUCCGUCAGUACAAGACAGACGCCACUACCGUCGGCAGGCUCUUGGAGGGAAUGUACCGCAAGCUCAACAACCUGCUGGAGCGACUGCACCAGUCAUACUUCUUCUACCUGCUGCCUUCACUAUCUCAUUUUGUCUCCAUUGGUUACUACAUGCCAGCAUUUGGUCUGCUGGCUGUCAUCCUGCUGCUGCGUGCCUUGGAUCUGUGGGUGCAACUGGCCGCUGCGCCCCCAGCAUCAGAAGACGGUGUGGCUGAUGCGGAGCAGGCCAGUCCUGGUGGGCUGUCUGUGAUGACCCCUCUGGUGAUCAGCCACCUGACAGGAGCGGCACUGUAUGCACUGCCAAUCUGCUUCCAGGAGAUGGCAGUAGAGCACUUCCCUGUGUCAGAGACUGAGGCGGUGGUGCUGACGGCCAUUGCUAUUUACACUGCAGGCCUGGCUUUGCCUCAUAACACACACAGGUUGGUGUCGGGUGAGGGUACAGAGCAGGGUUGGAGAGUCCUCAAGCUGGUGGCUCUGUUGUACCUGGCUGUCCUGCUGGGCUGCACCGCCCUCAUCAACUUCUCUCUCGGCUUCAUUCUGGCCCUCACGAUGGUGCCCGUGGCCGCCGUGGUCACGCCACACGUGCCCAAACUGCUGACAGCCUUCAUCAUGGUGCUUUUAAGCCCCGCCUGCACGCUGCUUUUUUCAGUCUUCAUCUUCCAGGAGCUCCAAGAGAUGCCGCUUAGCUUCCAGGACGGCUGGCUGCUCUUCCUGUCGGUCAUCUCGCAGGGCAUCCUGGACCACUCACUCUACGGCUCGCUGGUCUUCCCACUGGUCUCCCUGAUGAUCUAUCCCUGCUGGCUACUCUUCUGGAACAUUCUUUUCUGGAAGUAGACUUGAGGACAACUAUUGAGGUGAUCUCAGGUUCUUCUCCCUACAUCAACAAUACACUGGAGGCACGGAAUAUAAGGCCUGGGUGCAGAGGUGCUGGAGCCUAUCCCAGCUGCAUAGGAACGUAAGGUGGGGUACACCCUUGACAACCCAGGAAAAACCCACGCAAUCACAGGGAAAAAUGACCCCAAACCCGGGACCUUCUCUAUGUGAGGCACGAGCGCUAACCACUGUUUUGCUCAUAUUUUUGUUUUUGAUCCCAUGUUUUUACCAAUUUUUCCAGGAGAUGUACCUUGUUUUCAAAUGCAAAUGUUGAUGCUCUUCUGAUGCGCGGCAUUAGACUCACGUUUGUGAAAUCCCUUGUUUUUUGGUGCUAAAUGAACCACAACAUUAGCCCUGCAUAAAACAUGUUACUUGUCAGAUGUUUUGUAAAAAAAAAAAAACUUAGAGGAACUUCAUGAACAUAAGCCGCUGUUGUGCUCGCUGGUAGAAUGUCCACAUGUCUGUGAAUCAAAAUAUAAUUUUGUGAUUGAGAGCGAGAAUAAAAAAGUUAAACUAAA